This 486-nucleotide ribosomal RNA is filed under the name uncultured bacterium. RNAcentral describes it as "partial 16S ribosomal RNA". It matches the Rfam family "Bacterial small subunit ribosomal RNA", at positions 28 to 507 of the family's 1533-position model. The record is from RNAcentral.
GACGAACGCUGGCGGCGUGCUUAACACAUGCAAGUCGAACGCUGAAGACCUGGCUUUUGUUGGGUUGGAUGAGUGGCGAACGGGUGAGUAACACGUGAGUAACCUGCGCUCUUCUUUGGGAUAACGCCCGGAAACGGGUGCUAAUACUGGAUAUUCACUGAUCUUCGCAUGGGGGUUGGUGGAAAGGUUUGUUCUGGUGGGGGAUGGGCUCGCGGCCUAUCAGCUUGUUGGUGGGGUGAUGGCCUACCAAGGCUUUGACGGGUAGCCGGCCUGAGAGGGUGACCGGUCACAUUGGGACUGAGAUACGGCCCAGACUCCUACGGGAGGCAGCAGUGGGGAAUAUUGCACAAUGGGCGAAAGCCUGAUGCAGCGACGCCGCGUGAGGGAUGGAGGCCUUCGGGUUGUAAACCUCUUUCGCUCAUGGUCAAGCCGCAACUGUGGGUUGUGGUGAGGGUAGUGGGUAAAGAAGCGCCGGCUAACUACGUG